AUAAUGGGUCAGCGACUUAUAUUCUGUAGCAAGGUUAACCGAAUAGGGGAGCCGAAGGGAAACCGAGUCUUAACUGGGCGUUAAGUUGCAGGGUAUAGACCCGAAACCCGGUGAUCUAGCCAUGGGCAGGUUGAAGGUUGGGUAACACUAACUGGAGGACCGAACCGACUAAUGUUGAAAAAUUAGCGGAUGACUUGUGGCUGGGGGUGAAAGGCCAAUCAAACCGGGAGAUAGCUGGUUCUCCCCGAAAGCUAUUUAGGUAGCGCCUCGUGAAUUCAUCUCCGGGGGUAGAGCACUGUUUCGGCAAGGGGGUCAUCCCGACUUACCAACCCGAUGCAAACUGCGAAUACCGGAGAAUGUUAUCACGGGAGACACACGGCGGGUGCUAACGUCCGUCGUGAAGAGGGAAACAACCCAGACCGCCAGCUAAGGUCCCAAAGUCAUGGUUAAGUGGGAAACGAUGUGGGAAGGCCCAGACAGCCAGGAUGUUGGCUUAGAAGCAGCCAUCAUUUAAAGAAAGCGUAAUAGCUCACUGGUCGAGUCGGCCUGCGCGGAAGAUGUAACGGGGCUAAACCAUGCACCGAAGCUGCGGCAGCGACGCUGAUGCGUUGUUGGGUAGGGGAGCGUUCUGUAAGCCUGCGAAGGUGUGCUGUGAGGCAUGCUGGAGGUAUCAGAAGUGCGAAUGCUGACAUAAGUAACGAUAAAGCGGGUGAAAAGCCCGCUCGCCGGAAGACCAAGGGUUCCUGUCCAACGUUAAUCGGGGCAGGGUGAGUCGACCCCUAAGGCGAGGCCGAAAGGCGUAGUCGAUGGGAAACAGGUUAAUAUUCCUGUACUUGGUGUUACUGCGAAGGGGGGACGGAGAAGGCUAUGUUGGCCGGGCGACGGUUGUCCCGGUUUAAGCGUGUAGGCUGGUUUUCCAGGCAAAUCCGGAAAAUCAAGGCUGAGGCGUGAUGACGAGGCACUACGGUGCUGAAGCAACAAAUGCCCUGCUUCCAGGAAAAGCCUCUAAGCAUCAGGUAACAUCAAAUCGUACCCCAAACCGACACAGGUGGUCAGGUAGAGAAUACCAAGGCGCUUGAGAGAACUCGGGUGAAGGAACUAGGCAAAAUGGUGCCGUAACUUCGGGAGAAGGCACGCUGAUAUGUAGGUGAAGUCCCUCGCGGAUGGAGCUGAAAUCAGUCGAAGAUACCAGCUGGCUGCAACUGUUUAUUAAAAACACAGCACUGUGCAAACACGAAAGUGGACGUAUACGGUGUGACGCCUGCCCGGUGC
This 1272-nucleotide ribosomal RNA is filed under the name Escherichia coli. RNAcentral's name for it is "partial 23S ribosomal RNA". It matches the Rfam family "Bacterial large subunit ribosomal RNA", at positions 612 to 1869 of the family's 2925-position model. The record is from RNAcentral. Lineage: Bacteria; Pseudomonadati; Pseudomonadota; Gammaproteobacteria; Enterobacterales; Enterobacteriaceae.